AUGAGAAAAACAGUUUAUUUUUAAAUAAUCAUUAAAUAGGUUUCCAGAAACUGUAGGAAACAAAACAGCUUUCCAAGCCAAACUUCAGGUUAUCCUGCAACUAACCUCAAGCACUUCAGAUGUGCUAACAAGACCAUAGGAAGCAGAUAGGUGGAUUGACGAAGGACGAAAGAAGAAAACAUGAUUUUUUUUUCACCAUCGAGCAGACAUGGGAGCUAAUCUUACUAACCAAGAGGGCCUCUUUCACCAAGAUGCUAUUCAAAUCCAUGUCAUCUAUGAAGAGGCCAGGGUCCCCCGAGGUAGGAAAGGACCUCAUCAGGCGUGGCACGGUACCUGGGCAAUGGGUGCAGGAGUCUCCUGAGCAAAGUGAGAGCUAAAGUGCUUAAAGAUUCAAACUGAGAAGUUACAGAAUUGAAAGUAACCUGGGUCAUCCGAUGUGCUCUCCUCCCAUGGGAAACAACGGGGACACAGAAGGGGGAUUCAUACCAGACUGCACGUACUUUGGUGCCGUGAGGGCGUACUAGACCAAAGUCACCUAGUUUGACCCAGCGACAGUUUGGGGCACAAAGGAAGACAUUCUCUGGUUUUAUGUCACGGUGCAC
Molecule: long non-coding RNA, 602 nt
Organism: Tachysurus fulvidraco (yellow catfish)
Lineage: Eukaryota; Metazoa; Chordata; Actinopteri; Siluriformes; Bagridae
Exons: 4
Source: RefSeq, a predicted model, not a curated record